RNAcentral lists this ribosomal RNA (359 nucleotides) under Clostridioides difficile. Its description in RNAcentral is "partial 23S ribosomal RNA". It matches the Rfam family "Bacterial large subunit ribosomal RNA", at positions 2564 to 2925 of the family's 2925-position model. The record is from RNAcentral. Lineage: Bacteria; Bacillati; Bacillota; Clostridia; Peptostreptococcales; Peptostreptococcaceae.
CCCAAGGGUUGGGCUGUUCGCCCAUUAAAGUGGUACGCGAGCUGGGUUCAGAACGUCGUGAGACAGUUCGGUCCCUAUCCGUCGCAGGCGUAGGAAAUUUGAGAAGACCUGUCCUUAGUACGAGAGGACCGGGAUGGACGUACCUCUGGUGUACCAGUUGUCCUGCCAAGGGCAUGGCUGGGUAGCUAUGUACGGAAUGGAUAAGCGCUGAAAGCAUCUAAGCGCGAAGCCAACUUCAAGAUAAGAUUUCCCACCGCAAGGGUAAGACCCCAGAAAGACUAUCUGGUUGAUAGGUCGAAGGUGUAAGUGCAGCAAUGUAUUUAGCUUAUCGAUACUAAUAGGUCGAGGACUUGACCAAU